RNAcentral lists this long non-coding RNA (975 nucleotides) under Chinchilla lanigera (long-tailed chinchilla). RNAcentral's name for it is "lncRNA (ENSCLAG00000022346.1)". The record is from RNAcentral. Lineage: Eukaryota; Metazoa; Chordata; Mammalia; Rodentia; Chinchillidae.
GGAGAGGUGAGGUCUAAGGUACAAAGGCGACAGGGGAGCACAGCUCACAUAAUGGGGAGUAUCUAGAGGUGGCCUUCUUUCUGGAUGUGACCAACAACAGACAUACUUACAGGGACAGCUGCUAGGAAGAAGGGCAAGGAAGGACAGGCAAAGGCAGGGAGAGCAGGAAGGCGGUGUCUGAGUGUGGACAGUGUGGAUCAGAGUGAGAACUAGAGUUCAUGUAAGGAGGAGGAGAAUGGAGCUACGAAGUGUACAGAGUGAGGCUCAGCAGGCAGAGUCACCCUGUGUUACAUGAAAGCCUUCAUCUGCUGGUAACACAGCCAAUCAGAAUGGCUGAAACAAUAAGGAAAUGUACUGACUGAUCCACUAGCUCAGUUAUGCCACAAGAGCCUAUAGUUAUGUCACAAGAGCCACAGUGCUGGGCUCCGCUGGGCUCCUCGUGUAGAUAUAAGAUGGCUACGGGAUGGCUGGAAAUCCAAUGACUAGCGGAGCAACUGAGACUCAGUACUUCCUUACUUCUCACUUGAGGAAAGACUGGAUUCCUGUGGUUCUCUGAAUGGCAAAGGAUAACUUCUAAGACCCUCUAACAAUCUUCUGCUUACAUCUUACGGGCCUGAAUUAAACAGCAUGCCCACUCCUGGGUCUGUUACUGGUGCCUGGCAUUUCCCAGGCCCAUCAGACUCUUGUUCAGAGCUGGGACAGCCCUCCUCAGGCACAUGGCGAGAAGUUCUACAGCAAAGACCUGACAACUCUAGAACCCCCCAGCCCUGGAACCUGGCUUUUCAGUUAUUUCAAAGCUCAGCUAAAUCCCAAAGUAGUUUAACUCUUCUUGCCUUGUGCCCGGGCCAUGUCAUGCAGGUAAGUUGCUCUCCUUGGGAUCUCCGGAUGGGUGCGGGGAGGACAGGAAAGAACUCUUUGUGCAGGGUGAGUGUAAAUUACCUCCUGCAGUUUGAAAGCCAUACUUCUCCUCUGUAG